RNAcentral lists this ribosomal RNA (1633 nucleotides) under metagenome. RNAcentral describes it as "bacterial LSU rRNA". It matches the Rfam family "Bacterial large subunit ribosomal RNA", at positions 1298 to 2925 of the family's 2925-position model. The record is from RNAcentral.
UGACAUGAGUAGCGUUAAAGGGGGUGAAAAGCCCCCUCGCCGAAAGCGCAAGGUUUUCUACGCAACGUUCAUCGGCGUACAGUGAGUCGGCCCCUAAGGCGAGGCAGAGAUGCGUAGCUGAUGGGAAACAGGUCAAUAUUCCUGUACCGAUGUGCAGUGCGAUGUGGGGACGGAGAAGGUUAGCUCAGCCGGGUGUUGGAUGUCCCGGUUCAAGCCUGUAGUCAUGCCUGGUAGGCAAAUCCGCCGGGCUUAGAUGAGGGGUGAUAACGAGGAAGCUUGCUUCCGAAGUGAGUGAUACCCUGCUUCCAGGAAAAGCCACUAAGCUCCAGCUGUACACGACCGUACCGCAAACCGACACUGGUGCGCGAGAUGAGUAUUCUAAGGCGCUUGAGAGAACUCUGGAGAAGGAACUCGGCAGAUUGACACCGUAACUUCGGAAGAAGGUGUGCCUUUAGUAGGUGAACCAUUUACUUGGGGAGCCCAAUGAGGCCGCAGAGAAUCGGUGGCUGCGACUGUUUAUUAAAAACACAGCACUCUGCAAAGACGAAAGUCGACGUAUAGGGUGUGACGCCUGCCCGGUGCUGGAAGAUUAAAUGAUGGGGUGCAAGCUCUUGACUGAAGUCCCAGUAAACGGCGGCCGUAACAAUAACGGUCCUAAGGUAGCGAAAUUCCUUGUCGGGUAAGUUCCGACCUGCACGAAUGGCGUAACGAUGGCCACACUGUCUCCUCCAGAGACUCAGCGAAGUUGAAAUGUUUGUGAUGAUGCAAUCUCCCCGCGGAAAGACGGAAAGACCCCAUGAACCUUUACUGUAGCUUUGUAUUGGACUUUGAACAGAUCUGUGUAGGAUAGGUGGGAGGCUUUGAAGCGGUGCCGCUAGGUGUCGUGGAGCCAACGUUGAAAUACCACCCUGGUGUGUUUGAGGUUCUAACCUUGACCCGUUAUCCGGGUUGGGGACAGUGCAUGGUAGGCAGUUUGACUGGGGCGGUCUCCUCCCAAAGCGUAACGGAGGAGUUCGAAGGUACGCUAGGCACGGUCUGAAAUCGUGCUGAUAGUGCAUAGGCAUAAGCGUGCUUGACUGCGAGACUGACAAGUCGAGCAGGUACGAAAGUAGGACUAAGUGAUCCGGUGGUUCUGUAUGGAAGGGCCAUCGCUCAACGGAUAAAAGGUACUCUGGGGAUAACAGGCUGAUACCGCCCAAGAGUUCAUAUCGACGGCGGUGUUUGGCACCUCGAUGUCGGCUCAUCUCAUCCUGGGGCUGUAGCCGGUCCCAAGGGUAUGGCUGUUCGCCAUUUAAAGAGGUACGUGAGCUGGGUUUAAAACGUCGUGAGACAGUUUGGUCCCUAUCUUCCGUGGGCGCUGCAGAUUUGAGGAAGCCUGCUCCUAGUACGAGAGGACCGGAGUGGACGCACCUCUGGUGUAUCGGUUGUCACGCCAGUGGCAUUGCCGAGUAGCUAAGUGCGGAAGAGAUAACCGCUGAAAGCAUCUAAGCGGGAAACUCGUUUCAAGAUGAGAUCUGCCGGGGCCCUGAGCCCCCUAAAGAGUCGUUCGAGACCAGGACGUUGAUAGGCCGGGUGUGGAAGCGCAGUAAUGCGUUAAGCUAACCGGUACUAAUUGCUCGUGAGGCUUGACCCU